AAAAAAAAAAAAAAAUAAUGUGGAUUUGAAAUACAAAUUUUGUUUAUCCUGUCAAAGAAAAUUAAAGAAAAAAAAAAGUCUAUUAAGAUCACUUUUAUAUGUUAAAAAAAUAUACUAAAAAGACUCAACACAUAAAUAAUUAUUAUUUUGUUUUUGUUUUAGUUAAUGGAUAUUUUAGGUCUUAAACCUAAUUAACUACUUUUUAGUAUUAAAUUAGUUAACCAAUCAAACUAUUAAGAAUAGCCUUUUGUUUAAUUAUAUUUAUUUUAUUUUUACUUCAUAAAAUCCAUCUUUAAUAUUAUUAAAUUAUUUAGUUUACUUUAGUUGAUUAUUAUCUGUUAUUUCAUAUUUGUUUAUUAAUUUCCCAAUAGUUUUAUUACAUAAUUUAGUAAUACUUUUUCAUUAAUAUUUUAUUAUAAACACAAUUAGAGGGGUUUGUUAAUACUUUUUACCCAACACAUGUUUUUACCUUUUUGAUUGGAUAAUAUCUAAACUAUCUUUGUGAUUAUAAUAAGGUGAGUUUUUAAUUAAAGUUGUGCUAAUUGAAGAUGGAUAUAUUAAUUAACAUGCCUUCAAAAAUUGUCAACUAUAAUAUAAUAUAAAUAUUUCUAAUGGUGAAAAUUAAUUACCAUAUUGAAUUGCAGGGGUUUGCUGCCCAUCCAUCAUAUACCCUUCAGAUAUUUUGAUUGAUAUAUUUAUAUUUUUUUAUUGGUUUCAUCUUGAUUUGAGGUGAAUCCAUAUUUCCACAAACAACCAAAUGUUACUAAUGUAAAUUAGAUGGUAUAAACCAAAUGUGUCUCGGGUGCAUCAAUACCAAUCUCUCUUGCUUAUUCAAAUUUCUCUUGCUUUGUGAAUAUGAACAAAACAGUUGUUUGUGUAUUUUUCUCACUUUCAUUAUUCUGUUAAUAUUUUAUGAGUGUUGUUGGUAGCAAAAAUAUGAACAUAAAAGCUCACAUUUACGUGUUCUAAGCAAUAUAUUUUAAUUUAGAGAAGAAAGAAAACGUCAGAUAAAAAUAAAAAAAAAGAGAUGUGUUCUACGAGACUUUUGAUGCUUAAAUUAAUAUGUAGUGAAGAGUUGGAGCAAACUAGAAGUAGGAAGAAUAACUUACCUUUUGUGGAGGUAUGGACUCUUGAAAGACAUAGGCUUUAGGAUUUCUAAUGUCAAUUCAGGUCGUAUCAUAAUAAGGGAUUAAGAACUUCACCUAUAUAGGAAAUGGGCCUUUGAAUGUAAAAGAGAGUGACCUCGACCUUGGGACAUUGUAGUUAGGUUGUUGCUUGGUUUGAAGUGGCCUCGACUUUGGCCUCCAAGGUCGAAAAUGGCAUAUGUUGCUUGAACCAAUUUUCUUUCUUCUCUCGGUCUCUCUCUUCCUCCCUUGGCUCCUUCUUAUACUCUUUUCACCCUUAUAACUACUCUUAUUUCAAUUUUAUGCUUAAUGUACUCUUUCCAACUUGUGACUCUAGCACCAAAAUGACCUAUAUCAAUUAACUUAACUAAAAAAUUAAAUAUAAACUUAGUUGAAUUUAAUUUUAUAAAAAACUAAAAGAAAAAAAAUGAAAAAUAACAUUGACAUCAAAGAGACCAAAUGAUUUGUUUAGUAAAGGGAAGAAAAGGACACCUGUUAAAUUAACUUAUAAAAAGUACUUAAUUAUGUCUUCAAAUGUUUCUUAUUUGGGAUUCUUUGAGAAGUACCUUCAAAUUCUUUUUUAAAAAAUUGAGUAUCUUCAAAUAAUCAAUUAUUCUCUUUUAUUACAAAAGUUGAGAAAGGAAAUAUAUUUAAUAAAAGCCUAUUUUGGCCUAAAGAAUUCAUUUAUUUAUCUUCAUACCAAGGUGUCGCAAGCAUGUAUAAUAAUAAUAUUACAAUAUCGAUAAUGAUGGAUAAUAAUAGAUGAUAGUGUAGUAUAGACAUUGUCAUAUUUUAAUUCAUUUUACUAUCUUUGAAAAAACAUAUACAUUAGGCAUGAUGCUUAGAAAUAAAAAAAAAAAUUCAUUUUUACGUUUCAUCAUUCUCAAAUGGAUCGAUAAUUUUAACAUUUAAACCUUCUCAAAUCCUCCAAAGUAAGUAAGUAUGUAUGUGUUUUUACGUAUAUAGAUGUACCGUAUACAUAUAUAUAUAUAUAUAUAUAUAUACACAUAUAUAUCAAAGGCCAUGAAAACAAUUCAAGAUUAAGCCUGUAUUAAUUUUUUUUAAAAAAAAGUCACACAAACACCUUAACUUAAACCAUGCAAAAUACCUAAACCUAGCAACAAAUUUAAGUGGGAUAAAUAUAUAUUAAGUAACAAUUUGAUUUUUGAAAAUCAAAUUUAUAAACCUUGCUUGUACCUAUGAACUUCUUUGAUAUGUAAUCUACCUUUUACGUGUGUAUUUUAGAAAUUCAAACUAAAUUUUUUAAAACUAAAAUAGAAAGUAGUAUAGUUUUAAAGUUUGUUUUUGCUUUUUAGAUUUAGCUAAGAAUUCAAUGUUUUGUUUUGGAUGAAUCAAUUCUAAAGAUUUAGUAGGGAGUGGGAAAACGAACAUAGAUUAUAAGGAGUGGAUGACAAUACUGUAAACUUAACAAUGAAGUAGUGUUUACGUAUAAGACUUCAAGAUUAAUUUAUGAGAAAUACAUGAAUGAAUUGAGAUUACAUUUGAACGAGAGAUCUUUAGAAAAUUAUAAAAAUAUAUGGUUAAGAAAUGCUUAAAAGAAUUGGUAAAAUAAUUAUAUUACUUAUACUAAAAAUGAUACACAUUUUUCAUUGAUCAAUCAUAAGAAUUGCAAAAUUAAACGUACUUAUGUUAGAGCGAUUCUAUUUCUAGAUACCCUCUUGAGAAAGUUCCUAAAAAUACAUAUGAGCGAGUACAAAACACAAUGGAAUGACCUGGAAUCAUUAAAUUUUAAAUCUAAAUCGUUGAGAGUUAUCAAAUUGGAUUUUAAAUCUAAAUCGUUGAGAGUUAUCAAAUUGGAUUACUGGUUAAUCCAAAUUCAAAUUUUAAUUUAAUAGAUUUAGAAAUUCAACAUUAAAAUCGCCCAAGACUAAAUAAGUAAUUAAAUAAGUAGAUCACACACAUAUAUACACCAAAACAAUUUAACUUAGCACUUAUGAAACCUUUCUUGUAACUAAGACACGCCUUUAAACUACAUCUUCAUGGGGGAAAGACCUAAAGAGUAAAGAACUUCUCAAAGUUGGAAAGAACAAUAAUAAUAAAAUUAAAUUAUAAACAAUCAAUCCUAUUAUUUAAAACCAAAAGAGAAAUUAAAGUAAAAGAAGGCAUUAGCUGACAAAUUAUUCUCCAUUAAUUAUUAACAAUUACAAAAUUUAAUCAGUUUGCUAUUCCUUUUUUUCUUUGUUCUUGUUUGUAGGGUUUCCUUUAAACAAUAAUAAUAUAUACAAUUUUCUAAGAACAAAUCAUAACCAAAAAAAAGAAAGAAAAAUUCUUUGCUAAAACUUAGACUUUAUUUCAAGUGGUCCAUAUUUCCUUAAUGCUUGUUUUGUGGAUUCUCUUUCAAAGUAGCAAUAAAUUAAUUAAUUAGGUUUUGGUUUUUUGUUAGACUUUCAAAAAGAUGUCACACAUCAUAUAAACAAUAUAAUAUACACACACACAUACACAUAUGCAUUAUUAAUUAAAUUAAUGUGAAAGCAAGAAAAGAUUAGUAUACCCUCUCCCCCCCCAAUUGUUGUUAUUAAUUUAAAGCCCCAAGAUUAUUUUAAUGAAAUAGGAUAGAUUAAAAAAAUCCAAUUUGAUCUUUUUAGUGGGCUCCAUGGGGGGUAUUGACACCUUCACCCAAUAGAAUGUUGUAAGCAAAAGUGAUUUCAAAAUUAAUAUAUUAUAUACAUAUUGAGAGUUAAAUUUACUCAUAGGGCAGUGACAUGUGAUUCCAUGUGAAGAGGGUCCUCCCUUGUUGCCCCAAGAACCCUAGGAUUCUUUUCAUUUAACCAUUUCAUUCCUAUUAGUUUUGUCUAAUUACUAUAACCUAAUCCUAAUCUAUCUUUACUAUAUUCUCUUUUGAUAAUUAUUUAAGUUUAGCUUAUUAGCAUUCGUUUUCUUUUUCCACUACUAUAUAUUUAAUAAUGUGUUUUCUCUCUCUCGUUUUUUACCUUAAGAGUUCAAACUUUCUUUUUAGAUAAUUUUUUAAAAUCCUUAUGGUCUAUAUGGAUCGAAAGAAAUAAGAGGAUAUUUAAUUUAACAGGAAAGAAAUAUCUCUACCGGUGUUAUGAGAAGAUAUCCAAGCUCUCACUGGCUUCUGGACUAGUCACUCUGCCCGUUUUCAGAAACUAUACACUCUGCUAGUAGCAUAACUUUAAACUUCAAUGCUUUUUAAUGCUUUCAUCGGGGCUUUGGGGUUUUGGGUCUCAUAGGCUUCUCUCUACCUUUUUUGUAUUCCUUACUUCUUGUACUGACUCAUAUUAUUAAUGAAACAGAAAUGAUGAGAGUGCUAAAGAGGUGUCCACAUGUACACCUAGUGGAGAUAUCUUGGUGCACCUACUGACCCAUAGUAUAUAUUUUUCAAAAAAAAAAAACUUUUUUAGACGUUUCAAAUAGUAAUACAUAAAUUUUUGGUUUUGUUUAAGCAAAAACUAUUUUAGUUAUUAAAUAUUUGUAAUUAUUAAAAUAUAAACAUAAAUAUUUAAUAAUAAAACAAAACUAAAAACUCAAUUUUCAUUUUCUCCACCUUACAUUAAAGAUAAAGGUAAGAUUUCUUCUAGUGUUUUGACGAUUCCUGUCUGUACAAUAAAUAAUUCUCUCUUCUUUUUUUUUUUAACUUUACGUGAAUUUUUUAUUUGUUUUUAAUUAAAAAUUAUUUUAGAAUUUUUUAAAUUUUCCCUAUACAUUCCAAGCUAAUAUAUAACUAGUUUAGAUAAAAAUAUUUUAGCAUUGUUCUUAAAAGGAGGUAAAAUAUAUAUAUAAUUAAUUAGGUUAUAGGUUAUAUAUAUAUAUAAAAUAAAAAUAUUGUUAUUUGAGCAAUUGGUUAUAUAUAUAUAUAUAUAGUUGUUUUUAGAGUUUGGAUAGAAUAGCUUUGUUUUUAAAAGUCAAUUUAUCUGAUAAGAUUUUCUUACAAAUUUUUUAUUUUGUAAAAAUUAUUAAAAAUUAAAGUCAAAAUGUAAAAACGCCUACUUGCAUAUAUAUAUAUAUAUAUAUAUAUAAACAACUAUUUGUUUGAUAAGGUUUAUUUUUUAGCUUUCUGUUUUUCUUCAUUUCUAAUCUACUUUAAUUUCAAUAUCACUUUUGAAAUUAUAGUCAAAGCACAACUAUAAAUUUUUAAAACCCUAUUUUUUUUCUGAAAAUAUUUUCUAUAUAUAUAUAAGUAAUUAUUUUAUAUAAAAAUGAGAUAUUUUGAAAUACAUUAAAAUAAGAUAAAAUAAUAAUUUUCUCUCAUCAACUCAACAACUAUUUAUUGCCUUAUAUAUUAUCAAGUAAUAGACACCAAUAGAUAUUUAUUUUUUUUCUUACAACUUUGUGUUUUAAGCAUGUUAGUUUAAAGAAUGAGUGAGAUUUUUCUUCAACUCUUACCAACUAUACACCCGUCCCAAACUAUAUCUAUGUGUUUAUCAUAAUCUGAUCGAUUCUUCCAAAUAGGUCAACAAUAGAUAAUAACUCCCCAACAUAUAUCCAACUCAACAACUUUAUUGUCCUUACUUGUUAAUUAGAUUCGUUUCAUGGAUGUGUAUAAUUACUUUUAUUUUAAUAAAGAUACAAUUUUAGACACAUAUAGAAUCAAAAUAAUAAAAGAAAAGAAAAGAAAAGAACUUAAAAAUAGAGAAAUCCAUAAGUAUAGUGAUAUAUAUUGUUAUUGAAAGAAACAAUUCAUCACUAGCUUCAACAACAAUUUAUGUCUAGGGAAAUUGCACCUCUCUAUAUAUAAAAUAAAAAAUUACAUCAGUUUUCAUGAUGGCUUAGCUACCUUCCCCAAACCCCUCCCCCACUAUGCAACAAAGGAACCCCUUCAAUUAAAUUAUAUUAUAUGUGUGGCCUUAUCUUUCUUAAAAACUUAGCACCAAACACCAAUUUAAAUAUAUUUUAUUCAUAUAUACUUUUAAAAUUUUCCUCUCUUUUCUUUCUAAAUUCCCCUUCAUCUUUUUCACCUUUAAUUUAAUUGUUAUCUCUUUCCCAUGUCCCACACCUUUUUUUUUUUUUUUCUUAUGUUCUACAAGAAAAAGUUGUCUCCUUUGACAUGAAAUUUUCAAUAAUUAUGUAAUUCCAUCUAUGACACUUAUUUAUCUCAUGUUAAGAUUUUCCCUUUACUUGUCAACAGGGUCAGAAAUCACUACCUUUUUCACUCAAAAAUCAAUCACGUUAGCUUGAUGUUAAGAAGAUUAUUGGUGAUAACUAUACAAAAAGAUAGUUUUUGUCCAGUAAUUUAUUUGGUUAACACACAAGUUUAAUUAGUCUCUUAACUUUUAUGUUUUAUAUAUAAUCUUAUUUUAGUCUUCAACAUGUCAAGUGCUUACAAUAGAUUCUUUAACUUUUAAUUUUGUACCAAAUACGUCAAUGAAUUUUUAUACCUAAUAUGCUUUAAAAAAAAUUGGAAAUAAAUUUAAUUAAAGUUUAUGUCUAAUCAAAUGAAAACUUAAAUUUUUAAUUUUGAAAAUUUUACCCUAAGCAGUAAAGUUUAGCUUUGUAAAUUAACAUUCUUUUUUAAAUAAACAUAUCAAAUAGAUUUCAUCCGUAAUUAAGUGCACUCUGCUAUUAAAAAAAAAACCAUAAAAGAAACCCAAUUGUAAAUUAACAUUUUCAUAGUUUCAUCCAUAUUUUAAUAAUAUAUUAUAGAAAAUUUUGUUUGAAUUGUAUAUAUAAAAGUACAAAACAGAACAUUGGGAGUUCCACCCCAUUUGCUACUUUUUUUUUUUUCUUGUUGAUUUAAUAUUAUAUAAUUAACUCUUAGAAUUGCUUUGGCUAAUGUGGUGAUAAUGGGAGGUGGGGUAUAAAGCUAAAAUGGCAACAAACAAGUAUAUGCCUUACAAGAAAACAUGAUGAUCAAAUGUUUACAUCUUAAUUAAUAAUAAACUCACACACACAUAGCUAUAGAUAUAGAUAGCAGUAAAUAAAUGAGGUUAUAAAGUAACUAAUAAUAUAUUAAAGUUAUAGAAAACUUAGUUACAAUUAUUAAAAUAAUGUCUAAAAUAUAUAAUUAAAUAGAAAAACAUAAAAAGGUUUAAUCAAAUUCUAAUGAGUUUUUUUUGUACCAAAUAUCUUGAGAUUGUUUAUGAUUGAUAAUUAUGUUUAAAAUAGUAGUUCUUCCAUUUUUUUAAAGUGAAAAAAUUGCCAUGUAGAGCAUGUAAUUUUCUUAAAAAAAAAUAUGUGGGUUAUAUAAAAUACACACAUAUAAGUUAUUUAAUAUUGCUUUCUUAAGAUCCUAAUUAUUGAUAAAAAUUUUCUUAGAAAAAAAUAUUUUAUCACGAGAAGUUGUGAGAAACAUAUAAAUUAAUUGGACAACAAAAGUUCUUUGUGGGUUUAAAGCAUACAGAAAUAAUUAGAAUAAUCAGAACAAAUUUGAUUUAGAAGAUGAAGCUACAGCUGAAACCAUCAAUCGAAUAAUUAAAAAUGAACAAAGCAACAAAUGAAAGUAAUUCACUUCUUGAUAUCAAAAAGAAAAACAAACCCUAAUUUCCCUUGGAUUCAACAACAAACUAAUUAACUUGAACGAAGAUCAUACAUACUCAAAGUAAACCUAAACCUUAUUUGUUAACAAUCAUGAGUAGCAAAUUAAGAACUAGAGAACCCAUUCAUAAAGAUGUUUAAUUUAUGUUUUUGAAAUGAAAUUUGUUUAAUUAAUUAGUAUUAUUUUCUUUAUAUAAUUUCUUUUGAGAGGUAGAGGUUUUAAAAAUUUUCAUUCAAAGUUAAAAUUAUAUCUAAAAACUAGAAAUAUUAUAAUAAAUAAUAAAAAAAUAUAUUAGUAAAACUAAGCUGAUCCAUUUUUCAAAGAAACAAAAUCAUUUCAUCAAAUGGGCCAUAGUUCUUACCAAUUUGAUGCAUAUUUUAUAGAGAAGUUUAUGGAGGUUUGAUUUUCUUUUUUCUUUAUCCAAUUGUUUUUCCCAAAUCAUCAAGACACAGAAAAUAAAAAUUAAAUUAGAAGAAAAAGAGAGGAAUUAAUUGAAUAUAAAGUUAAUUAACUCUCCUUCUUGUAUUUGCAUAGAACAAUUAAUUUAAGGGUUUUUUUUUUUCACACUGAAUAUUUAUAAUCAACACUAAGACAUGAAAUAUAUAGAGACUCAUCUCUUUCAUCUUUUAUAUCUUUAACUUCCUAAACCAUGGCUGCAAUAACAAAACAGCCACCAAUCUUAAAACAUUUUCUAACCUUUGUUUUUUUUUCCCAUCAGAAGCUUUAAAAUGACGGCCGGCCGCCGUGAGCCCAAGAAUAGGCCUCUUGGUUCAACUGCCCUCCGCCACCAUUCGGUAGUAAAUUUGGUGGUAAAUUGUACAGUGGAGUCAUAGCUGAUGGGUCCCCGACUCCGCCUCCGAUGCCUUGUGGUGAACCGUCGCCUGCGCCGCCACCGCCUGCCGAUGUGUGCCCUUGUGCUCCUACUCCGCCGCCUUCUUCUUCCUCUUCUAAGGGUAAUCUUUCGUAUGUUGCGUUGGAAAAUGUUGCAGCAAUCACCAUCACUGGGCCAGCAGCGGUGAGUGGCCCGACGACGCUGCCACCCACCACUUGCCCUUGUCCACCAGCCAAGUAGAUCGUUAGUCCGGUUGAGCCAGGUGGGGCUGGUCCAGGGAGGAAAGUUCCAGUUAAAGAAAGUAUCUCGAAUCGUCCCUGGAGGGCUAAGACUGCACCAGGCGCAGACGGUUGUCGGAGUGUGACAUUUGUAACCGUACCGCUACCACUAAGUACAGAAACACCUGUUAAUGAAAAUAUUUUUCUCUGAAGUCAAUCAUACAUGCCAGUUAUGGAUCACGAAUUCAUGUGAACUAAAUUAACCUAAUUUCAAAGUACAAACUCUGUGACUCAUGGAUAUAUAGAUAAUUAAAAUCAAUAAUUAAAUUCACCGCAACCUAUUAAUUAGCUUAAGCUUUUUCACCUCUCUGUCGCCGUCGAGCGAAUUGAGCAACGCUCUCGGCAAUAUCAGCUCCAUUAGAAAUCUCCAUGACAUGGCUUUUUAGGGCAUUAGGGCUAUCUCUAGUAACAAAGAUAGGUGGCUUAGGCUUAUUCUUGGAUCCCGGCGGUCGGCCACGGGGACGACGCGUUGGAACCUCAACUGCUCCUUCUUUAGGUUCAUCCCCACCGUUAUCCCUAUCGUCAUCGUCAUCACCACCACUGUGAACAGGACCACCGUUGUCGUUCAUGGAGAUUCCCAGAUCUGGUUUUCUCAUAGCAGAGGAGCUUGUUGAAGUAUGAUCAACUCCGGGAAGACCCAUCUGGCCGGAGGUCCACCACCGGUUUGCCAUCAUCAAAAAAUUCAGAUCUUUUUUUUUUUUUUCAGAUCUUGAAAAUUUUCAGAGUUUUAAAAGUUAGAAUUCUUUUAUAAAAAAAAAUAAUUUAUCUGCUGAAGAAGAAUUAAGAUGGUAUUGUGGGGUUGAAAGGGGGAAGAAGAAGAAGAAAUAAUAAUUAAAAAAAAGGAAAAAAAUAGAGAGAAGAAAGGAUUAAAUUAAUAAGUAGAGAGUAUUGGGAGGUGUAAAUUAAAUGGAAGGAUUAAGGAAAGGGGAGGUUGAAGUGAUGAUGAAGGGGAAGGAGAGGGAAAGAAAAGGCAAAGAGAUGCCUAGAGAGUUGAGAUAGACAAGAAAGUAUGUGAGGAGAGAGAAAGAGAGAAAUGGGGUUUUUUUAGAAAUGUUGAGGGUAAUGUGAGUGUUCUGUGUUCUUAUUUUAAUAUAUAUAUACAGCCACAUAUAUAUAUGUGUAUGUUUUUGGUCUCUUAUACAGUUGAAUAUGGGCUUCAGCUAGGUUAAUGACUUAAACAAUAUUUGAGGGGAAAAAAAAAGACAUUUCCCCAAAAGUUUUCCCAAAUUUUUUAAAUCAAGAGUUUUGAUCUACCAUUUGGGUGAAAUUACCAAAAUGAAACCUCACAUGUAGCUUAAGCUUGGAUUUCUUGCUCGAUCUCUCUCUCGUUUCGCUUGUUGAUCUCUCUUUCCUCUCUCUCACUCAGAAUCCAAUCUCUUUCUCUCACUCUAUAACACAAAAUUAUCGAGAUCAAAACUUGUGUGUGCAUGACAGAGAGAUAAAAAACACACAAAGAAGAAGAAAUUCUGCAACAUAAACCCACAAAAAAGAAAAGAAAAAGAGAAAAUGAAAACGAAGAAGAAAGAAAAAUAAAUUUAGGUAAGGUGGUCUAGACAUGUACUAUCAUUUUCUUUCUAAUUAAAUAUUCAUUUUCACAUAUUUCAAGUCUACAUGUGAGGAGCGCGUUAGAUCCAUCUUAAUUGAACGGUUAAAUUGAAUGAUGACUUUAAAAAAUACCGUCGAUCAUACUGAAACGAUGUGAUUGAAUAAUUUGUGAAUUUAAAUUAAAUGGGAAGUGGUUGGAAGUAGCAUGGGUGUGUGACAAAGUCAUUGCUACCUGCUUUCCUCUCUAACUCUAUUUGAAUAAAAAAAUGAAGAAAAGAUUGUGAAGAGGAAGAAGAAGAUGAAGAAGGGGGGAAGUGGGGAUGGUGAUUAAGAAUUCUAGGGUUUUAUUUGUGAGUGGGGUGGCAUGCGCUUAUGAUGGUGGGAUGCACGUCCUUGUCUACACCGACCCCACAUCAAAACAUACACAUAUACACAAUACACAACAAAACAUUACCCUAAAAAAUUAUAUUCAAAACAUCUAACUUUUUAAUACAAACCUUUCUUUUCCUAAUUGAACCCUGUCCAUAAAUAAAUCAAUAUAACAUUGUUAUUACCCAAUUUCUUUUUCCAUAUGUUUCAACUAUAUAUGAAACUUUCCCCUUUUUUCCCCCUCUCUAUGCCCAAUGUAAAUACACACAAUUCCAUGGUUUGGGUUAACGUGAAAUAUAUCAAUUAUUGUGUUAUGAUUGAUAUAUCUAUGUUUAUUAUUAUUCAUUAAUCUAUAUCCUUUUUCUUAAUUAAUAUAUUUGCAAUGAAUUUUAAUGGAUAAAAUUUAGUUGGGUGUGGAAUAAUCUAUCAAAAGUUUGAUUCUUUUAUUUUGAAUUUCUUUUUUUUUUUUGUAUUCAAUCAUCUAUUUAAUCUGAGAUUUUUUAAUUUAGAGUUGGAAUAUGAAAAUACAAGUUCAAUUAUUUGUAACUACUAAUACAGUAACGUUUUGAAUUUACAAAUAAAAAUAAAAAGAGAAGGAAAUGAAAAAAAAAGAAGAGCAAAAUCCAUUAAAAUAAAUCCUUUCGAAUUGAUAUAUAUUUAAUGUUUAUUAGCGAAUGUUUGUUAUAUCAAAUAUCAAUGAUACAUACAUCAUCUUUAUCGUAUAAUGAUACACACUAAUAAGAUAUAACGUUAUUAUAUGAACGUUACAAAAACCAAAUUACGUAACAAUAUCAUUAUAUUUGCAUAAUUAAAACCCAUGCUAGUACAUAAUUUGUAAAUACACAAAUAACAUAUUUUGUCAAAAUGACAAUGAUGUCAAAAUUGAUAAAUUUUCAAGGAUAAAAGUAUGAUUAAUGUAAAAAGAGAAAAACGAAACUGGUUAUUGGGAAGGAUUAAAUUAUGAUCAAACAAGAGACUUAAAUAAAUCUACAUAGGAGCGAGAGUAACACUUUUACUAUAAUGAUGAGGUAAAAUUUAUGAGAUGCAUGUCAAGUAAAAAAUAAAUAAAGUCUAAUAAAUCAUGGCUCAAUAUAAUAAGAUAGAAUUAAUUAUUAUAUGGUGGGUUCCUAAUACUGACAAGCCACCUUUGAAUAAAUAAAUUAUGGCAUGUCAAGACAAUGAAUCAUAACAUGAUUAAACAAUCCAUAUAGCAACCUUACAAUCUUUCUUUAAUUUAAAUUUAAAUGGUGUAGAAUUAAAAUUAGAUGGAUUGUUUUGUAGAAUUGGACAUUUUUCAUAAAACUUGGUGAAAAUUAAUGAAAGUUUUUAUAAUUAGUUGAUGAAACUCUGAUAUUAUGAUUUGGUUUUUCUACGAAGGUAAAUAUUUUUUGACAAUCACUUAAAAGAAUACUUUAUUGAUUGAUCUCAUAGAUAUAAAAUCAAAUUUUCUGUAUAAAUAAAGCCUUUAAAUUACUUUCAAUCUUGUACAAAUAUAUGUAUGUGAAUUUAGUAUAAUAUUGAAUAGGUUAAAAGAUAUAAUAUAAUUACAAAUUCUAAUUAGAUAUAUAUCAUUGUAAAGGUUCAAAGUAUUAAAACCAAAACUUUAAAUCUUAACCUUUAUUUUAAUUCACAUACCAAUACAUCUUCAAAGGCUCUAAAUUAGUCAACUAUUUGACAUUUUUACAUUUAAUUAAGAUUUAAGUUUAUUUAUUUACUAUUAAUUAUUAAGAUAUUUAAUUAUCAUUUUGGGAUACUAAAAUUUGAAGCCAACAUAUAUCAAUUGUGCAGUAAUCAUAUAUCAUACUGUUUUUAGAAUUAGUUGCGUUAUACUGCAUAUAUAAUUGACCCCUUUUGUUGGAGCUUAGAAAGGAUUUUUCAUAAUGGAUUAGGAAAACGUCUCAUUUUUAUAACUCAUCAAGUUGAUAAUCUAAUCAUUAAACUAUCUUCACAUAGUCUUUCCAAUAAACCAAUAACGUUUCUUAUCCAAGAAUUAUGAUAUCUCUACUCACCAUUUUAAAUUACAUAUAUUCUUUUUAUAUCACUCAAUUACAUGCAUUUUGACUAAUCUCACGACACAACUUGUUUGACUAUACGACAUUUAGAUUGUACAUAUACUUGUUUAAAUUAGUUGUUGGUUUAUUUAAAGAGGAAGAAAUAUCAUUGGUUCUUUUAUUUCUAAAAACAUAAAAAAAAAAGUCUAAAAAAUAAUGUUUUACGAAGAAAAAAAUAUUUUUGGUAUAUAUCUCUAUAAAUGGAAUAAUGAUAUUGUCCACUUUGAGACUUUGGUUUUGUUAUGAUAUUGCCUAGUUUGGAAAUAAUUCAAAAAAGACUUGAACCUUUAGAGAUAUUGAUGUCACUACUUAUAUAUUCGUAAUAUUUCUUCUUAAUUAUCUAGCUAGCGCAAUGUGAAACUUUUGAUCGUAUUUUCAACAAUUCUCCUGAUGAAUUAACAAAGUAGUCCUUUCAUAAACUACUCCUUAAAUAGUCAUGUCAACUCAUUGAGGAUAUUUAUUUUUGUAAUGGUAACUAUAUCAACUCCUCGUGAUCGGGACAUUGUAUAUAUGUUUAAUGCUCAACAAUGGAUAUUCACAUAUUGUGGUUGUGUCAUCGAAGGUUCAUUAAAAAAAAAUUUAUCCACUAAUAUGCUUUGGAGAAAACAAUGCAUGGAUUCACUAUCGAUUAACUAUGGUUAGAGUAUAACUCUAAUACCACUUGUUGAGGACCAACAAGACUCCAAACAUCUUUACGAAGAUAUGAUAUUAUCUAUUUUGAUAUGAACAUAACUUUCACGACUUUGAUUUUAAUCCCAAAAGCUUUAGAUUAACAUUUUUGAAGAUAGGUGCUCAUGUUUUGAUACUCAUGAUAAUCUGCUUAUUAAGCUAAUGUAGUACUUUAGUUGCAUUUUCAACCAUUAUGAAUAAUUAUAAAUUUAAUAUAUUUUCUUGUAAUUUAAACUUAAUAUAUAUGUGUGUAUAUAUAUGGCGUAUGUAUAUUCGUAUUUACACAUAACGAGAGUUCUUGGUAUGUUUGCUGCCAUUUUUUACCUAUACUUUGUCACCAAAAUAACAACAUUGUUAUUUUAUGGCAAUAACAAAGUUCACUAAAAAUCAUGAAAUUUCAAAAUUACAAAUUACUGUUAAUUGUUAAAUCUACAUAAUAUGUUAAACAUAAAAUUUUAUCUUAUGUUUUGAAAUCAAAUCUCUUGAAAAUUUCACUAUUUUGGAUGUAUCUUCUUUUCAAAUUCUUAAAUUUAGAUUGUUCAUGUCACACAUAUUAUUAGACCAAAAGUAGGGUACUUUUCCGUAAUGAAAUAAUGCUUCCCCUUAUAAUAUUCUAAGUACUAUUACUAUAAAAGACGAAGUAUAUAUAUACAUAAUAUAUGUUAUUAUAUAUAAGGGUGAAUAAUAUUAAAAGAAUUGUUAGGGUGAUCUCCACUAAUUAAAUUCUUACAUAUAGCCACUCAAAACCACAUCUAAGAUUCUAAAUAAUAUCAAUAUAUCAUGAGACCAAUAACUAGCUUUGUUGGGAUUAAAAAGGUGAUGAAAGCUUAAAAUUAUAAUAUUAUUUUGGAGAUAUAUAUACAUAAUUGAUUAACUUAUAUUCAUUCAGCCUAAUUAAUUAAUAUUUCACCACUAAGUCUAACCAAGUUUUAGGCUUAUUAUAGCCUUGGUGAAUAAGAUUAAAAUAUCUUUUAAAUGUCAACUUUAAAUAUAUUUUAGUUUUAUAAAACUAGCCUUUAACAAAGUCCUUUUAUUUUUCACUAUCAUUUUAUUUUUAUAUUUUUAUAUGUAAGAAAGUGACCUUUCUUUGCUAACUUUUUCUUUUUUUUAAAAAAAAAAAAUUAAGCAUAAACAAUAAAUUAAAACAUACUAUUUUUAUGGUAGACCCACUUAAUAACUAUUUUUAUUAGUAUUUUAAAUUAAACAUAUUUCUUUUCAAUUUUCUUAGAUAGGAGAAUUGAAUUUUUAGUUGAAUCUAAAAAAAUAUAGACAGAUUUUUAAAUUUUGUUUUAAAAAUUUCCUUUGGUUUUUUAAAAAUAUUGAUAAAAGUUAGAUAACAAAACAAAAAAAAAUUAAAAUAAAAGAGAUAUAAUCAUAGGUUUAAUUUUAAAAAACUCAUCAUAUAGUGAUAAAAGUUUAAAAAACUUAUCACCAUAUAUUUACAAAAUGAAGGUUUAGUUUUCUAAUUUUUUUUUAUUUUUGAAAUAAGUAUUUGUUUUUUAAAAAAGUUUUUUACCCAUUAUUUUCAUAAAUACUUAAAAAAAAUUGUCAAGAAAAGUAAUUUUUAGUAGUGUCUUUAUAAUAUGUUUAAUUUUAUAAAAUAAAACAAAAAGAAAUUAAAAGGUAAUGAGAGUACUCAUUCUAAAAAGAUGGAAUUGACACUAUUUGAUUUCUAAUAUUUGGAAGAUACAUUUUAAUCUUGAAGUAUGGAAAAUUAAUUGUCCUAAAUAAUUAUUGAGAUUAUUGUGUUUAGCUCUUAACUAAUUAGUUGGCUAGUAGAAAAAUGAUGAUGUUGGAAGUAACAUAAUGAUUUAUAUACAACUAUUUUGAUGACUUAAUUCAUUUAUUAUAAUGUUUUUAAUUUAUUUGGUUAACCUAAGUUUUUUUCCACUCAUUUUUCUCUCACUACUAUAUAAGUGUUAUAAUUACUACUACAUAUUAGUGUUGUAAUUACUAGAUCUCUUUUUUUAGUACAGUAAUUAUAUGACAGAGAAUUGAACUUUCAACCUUGUAGAGAUGAAAGUCAUGUUACUGUUCUUUGAAAAGAGUGAAGAUUGUCAAAUCAUCGGUCACAGUAUAUGAUCAUUUAUCGAUUUUGGUUGGACCCAAAUCAUUCCUAGACUUCACCCAUAACAUAAUGGAAAUGUCGUUUUUCCUCGUAUCAACGUCAAACUUGUGAAAAUGUGAAAAUAUCGAAAUGUUAAUUAAAGUUUAAUAUCACAUCAACAAUAAGUACUAACUUAAACAUCAAAACUAUGAGAGGUUUCAUCACUUAAUUUUUCUUUUUCCUUUGUUCUUGAAAUCCAUAGUUAAAGAAACUGACCAAGAUCUAAAGUAAAAAAAAUGAUACAAGGCAUAAUUAUAAUUUAAAUGAAAAAUUGUAAAAAUCAACCCUAAACUAUCAUUACUAGUAGCAAUUACACUCUCAAACUUUUAAUAGUAAUAAUUGAGCCCAUGAUUAAGCUUCUAGAAAUGUUAAAAUUGGGUUCUUAAGCCUAUAACAAUCGUAAAAAACAAACUCACAAAUGAUAAAAAUUAAAUUCUCAAACUUAUAGGGUAUACAAUUGUGUAAGUUUAAUGGUUCAAUUUUAAAAUUUGAAUCAAUAUAACUUAAUUUCUAAUUUUAAAAGUUUAAGAAUAUAAUUUGAUUAUUUGACAAGUGUCAUUAAAUAAUUUACUACUUUAUUAAAUAUUUAUUGUGUGAACGUGACACAAAUUCUUAUAGCCGCUUAGGUGAUCAACAAUAAACGGAGGUAUUAUGAAAGUAGUCGAAAUUUUCUUAUUUUAGGGUUGAUUUUUGCCCUCAGCUCUAAUGGGCAAAUAUCAAACAAAAAUUUAUUAGAAAGACUACGAUAAGCGACAAACUAAGAAUAAGAUAUGUUAAAGCGUGUCAGACCGUCUUUAUUUGUUCUGAUAUUUUAUAACGUAUGAAAUAUAUUUAUAUUUUAGAUAUGUUUGUACUUUUUUGUUUCACGUUUUGAUGAAUGGAUGGUUUUGUCACGUUUGCAAAAGUAAAAAGUUUGAGGUAUGAAUGAAAUUUGUAAAAUUUAUUUGACCACAUCUAUGAAAGGCAAAACCUUUAUUAAUAUGGACAUAUUUUCAUAUUCUUUUAAAAAAGAAAAAGAAAACACGUUUUGCAAUUUCCCGUUUGUUUAGCUAAUUUAUAUUUUUGGCCAAAUAUUUUCUUCUACUGUUAACCAUGGAUUACGCCAAAAAUUCUCCCACUUCGCCUUCUGUUUCUGCAAGCAAUCGGCUAUCAGGUACGAAGAUCAUCGCUCUCGUAAUCGCUAUCUAUAAAUUUCUCUCUCACUCAAACAACCCAGAUCGUUUUUUCUCUCUUUCCUCUUUUCAUUGCACUUUUUUCAGAGGGUUUUUGGUUUGUUGUUGAAGAAUACAGAUGGGUUUUGAUAGGUUUUGUUCAUCUUUGCUUUCUGUCAUUUCUUGUUGUUUUAAUUUUAAGUUUAUGCGAACAAAUAGAGAAAAAGAGACUGAUGGGAAGGAUUUGGGUUGGUUUUUUUAUGUUUAAUUUUUGUCAGAUUGUCGAUUUUUUUGCUCUUGAAUUUCUGGGUGGAAUGUUACUUUCAGAUUGUUGUGUUCUGGGUCUUUGAUGAUAUAUUCAUUUAUAUUUUUGCACGAUUUAUCGGUGAUUGAUGUUGCAUGUUCAAUCUGUUUUGAGCUGAACAUUAUUAUGUCAUUUAUAAUGUAGGAUGACUAGUUUCAAAUUCUGGUGUUGAUUGAAAUCUUGGUUGGAUUUCUUCGUUUUGGAUUUCAUCUGACGUAUUCAACUGUCUAAUCUGCUUGAAAAGUUUGAUUAAGGAUGCUUUUAACAAUUAAUUAGUUCAAUUUGGGGAUUUAGAGAUAAGGUUUUAAAUUUUAAUAGUAAUUAAGUUUUCAAUUUGGAGAUUGAACCUUGAAUGUUGGAUCCUUCACUUUGAUAGCCAUUUAUCAUGACUGGGUGAAGUUUAUGCUUACCCUUUAAUCCUACACUUCUAAGAAGCACGCACACUUUAGUUUUGCCUAGUGUGUUCGUGUUUGACACGUGUCGGGCACUUGGGACACUACAACACUUGGUGGAUACCUAUCAGACACUCGUUAGUGGAACAAAUGUGUUAGACAGACAUAGAACACUAGUUGAGUAGACUAAAAAGACACAUAUAUAACAAUAAUGAUAAUUUUUAAAAAUGAAUAUUUUAAUAAACGUAUCCUUUAAUAAACGAAUAUUUUAGUAAACGUAUCCUUGUCGUGUCAUGUUUUAGAUUUUUAAAAAUGUCAUGUCGCUGUGUUCACGUUGUGUCAUAUCCGUGUCCAUGCUUCUUAGCUUCUCUUUGAUUAGAGUAAGAAAUGUUAAGUUGAUUAACUCUUAAAAUGAGGUAGUAGUAUUUUAGAAAUAAAGAUAGGAAAGAACGAAGUGAACUUUCAUAAGCUACUCUGACUCCUAUUAGGAAGCAGGAUGCUUGCUCAAGUGGAAACUAAAUCUACCCAAGGGAUCAAAUUUGUAGUUUGUCCUUUUAUGUUUGCUACUGAAGAUCCUUUGGUCUAGUCUAAUCAUUAGGCUUGAUAAGUAUCAUCCUUUACAUUUGUCGAUAACAAUUUAGCUUUUCUAUUGGGUUAUAAUGAUUGCUCUGGUUAGGGUCUGCUGUCUUUGGUUUUCAGGGGUGUGUGCUAUUUUUGUAGAUUUUGUGGGGGAAGCAGAAUAUUAGGGUUUUUAGAGCCAAGAGGGACUUUAUUGAGAUUUCGUCUCCAUUCGUUUUCAUGUUUCUUUGUGGACUUCGGUUUCAAAUGUUUUUGUAAUUAUUCUAUAGGUGUUAUUUUGCAUAUUUGGAUUUAUCCUUUUCUAUAGAGGUUGCUCCUUCCUUUUGUGGGCUAGUUUUUUGCAUGCUUUUAUAUUCUCCCAUUUUUUUCUCAAUGAAAGGUUAUUCUCGUCAUAUAUAUUAUAUAUGAAAUGUUUGAUUUGGUGUUUGAAUUUGAGAACUUAUAGGUUUGGAUAUACUAAAGAGACAAUUGAAACUCUUGAUACUAAUGAUUGGAUUCAUGAUGCAAAAAUAAUAUUGGAAUGAAAUAUUGGUGGUUUCUAAAUGCUUUAAAUCUUUAACGUGGCUUUUAAACUCUAUAUUUCACUCAUUAAGCAAGUUGAGAGAGCUCUAUUAUGAUGAUCAGGAAGCAUACUCCCAUGAAACAUCAGAUCAAGUUUUUUGGACAUAAUAUCAAAGAAUAUUGUCAAUGCCACAUUCUUUUUUUCCAUUUUUUCUGUCCUUCAUUGAUUUUCAUUCAUAAAGUUUCAUUAAGCAGCUUUUUUUCAUCAGUAUGUCGUGUUAUAACAACUUGGGCUCAUAUAUGAGAAUGUCAUCAUCAAUUGCUAACAUCUUCUUAUUGUUUUUUACAUGAAACAAACUUUCCACUGAUCUGAUGAAAAGACACUAGAGCUCAAAAGAUACAAACUCCAAGAAAGCAGUAGAAACGAAAAAUUACAAAGGAAAUAGAAAUGCAUUCCAGUUAAGAUGUGUCUUAAAGAGAGCACUCAGUUGCUAACUUGAUUCAGGGUUUCCAUAUCAAAUUUUCAUACUUAGACCUCAUCUUCAUUCUCAUUAUGUGCAAUGCUAUUCAUUGUAUUUUCUUAAGUAUUUUUUCAUCUUUUCAUCUUUUACUCAUUUGUGAACUUUUACCAAUAGUGUAACUAGUUACAUGUGAUUGCAAUAAUGUUAAAUACAAUACAUUUUAACUUGCUAGCAUAUUGAUUUGUUUAGGUAACACUGGAAAUUUACACUCAUUGGAAUGCUUCCCCAGUCAUAGAGGGAAGAGAAUGGUUAGCGAUAGUAUUCAUUCAGCUUUGGCAUGUGAUGACAUCCUCACCGAAAUCCUCCUUCGUUUGCCAGAGAAAUCUAUUUUCAAACUUAUUCUCGUGUCCAAAAGAUGGCUAUCCUUGAUUUGUAAUUUUUCCUUUCAUCGUAGUUAUGAAAAGCAAUGGGGUGCACACACUCGCCUUUUUGGCUUUUUUGUAUGCAAUUUUCUUUACAUUGACAGACCACAAGAUGGGGUGAGGCGACCCCGGUCUGAGCCAGCUCUACCUCUACUUUCAACUUGUCAAGAGAGUGAUGAUUUAGUAUCAUCUGGAAUCUUAAGGAAACUUGGCUAUUUUAUUGACUACUCUGAUGGGCUUCUUCUCUGUGGUCGUCACCCUAAACAUUAUUAUGUCUGGGAUUCUGUCACCAAGUACCGACGCCAACUUCCUCAACCUCAAAAGCACUACAAAUAUCUAUGUACCGCAUUCAUUACAGAAGACCCCGGCUUAGAUUGUGGAGAUAUUGUGUAUAGAGUUGUUCGAGCAAACUGUGAAUGCAGAGUUGAUGUAAUUAACACCAUUUCUAUAGAGACUUUCUCCUCUCGGACUUGGACAUGGAAGCAAUCCACUCUUGUUUGUUCUUCAGAUUUUGCUUUGAGCCCGUGGACAGUAGGCACUGUGAUUAAAGGAGUUAUCCACUGGUUUGGAACAUAUCGAAGUCUAGCGAUUUAUGAUCCCGGAUUCGGAGAAAGGCGCAUAACUUCAAUCAAGCUACCGACUGGUAAGCUGACUCAGGACUACGAGGACUCCAUUUUAGGAGUGUCAUCGGAUGGGCUUUUGCAGUAUGGUCAAAGUGGGAAGCUUGGAUUGGAAACAUGGGUUCUCUACAAGGAACAUGAUGAUUCCUCAUCAUCCUACACCAUGGAAUUGGACACUCAUUAUGAGUACCGGUGGAUGCUACGACACAAAUUAAGCUACAAAGACCUGUGGAAGCAGAACCCGAAUUCAGGUCUUCGCUCUAAAGAAACUCAAAUAUUAUCGUUUAUUCGUCGAAACUCCGACUCUGUUUUCAUUAGGUUGGGAACAAGCAUCUACCAAUGUAACAUCAAAAGCAAAACACUGGAAGUGACUCCUUACCAUCAUGGUGAUUUUUCUAUUCCAUGGGAUUUUUGUAAAGUAGUGCCUUACUUUCAAAAGAUUUGGCCCCAAUCCCCUUUCCCUACCUCCCCAAACACAGUUAAGCAGCUACUAUGACUAUGAGAUGCCUGUUCUGUUGCCAUUUCUUCUUUUGUUAAUGAUGCUUGGGAGGUUGUCUCUUUUUGUUUGUAGAUAAUGACACUUCCCUUGCUCCAUUAUUCUAGUAGCCAUUUUUGUUUUAGUUUUAAGUUCUUAAGAAAUUAUGCUUAUUUACUAAAUUUCAUUUUCUUAUUUCUUAUGUGUACUUUUAGACUCGUUUCUUAAGUUGAGUAGUUUUAAAAGCUAUAUCUAUAUAAGGAAAAUGGUAUGUGUUUUAAAAGCUAUAUCUAUAUAAGGAAAAUGGUAUGUAUGACCCAUUUUGAUGAGAUUCAUUUUUGAGGACCCAAAUGAAAAACGUCCUACCUUCUAAAAUCUAAGAUUUUGUACCUCUUCAAGCAAUUUUUCCAACUUACCUCAAUUUUAUUUUUGCCUCUUCCUCCAUUACCUUUUCUUUCUUUUUCUUCCUCUCUCUCUCCUCUUCUUCUGCUCCUCCCCCUCUCGCGAGCGCUCAAAUGAGGGAAAUUAUGCCUAGAUUUGGAGGUGUUGCAGAGGAGAGCGAUUUGAGAGCAAAGAAAACAAGGUGAGAUUAGUCAUUCCCCAUGCAGUCGAGGGCUUUGAAGAAGGAAGAGCAAAUCGAUAAUUUCACAUAUGCAUGACAUCAGCAAAAGGUUGUCGAAAAGGUCGAUUAGCUGCUCAUGAUUUUUGAAAAGUGGGGCAUUUUUGGUUUUUGAAUGGUUAACAAUUCAAUUUUUUCCUAUAUAAAGGUUGUAGUUUCAAAAUGCUUCUUGUUUCUUAAAUUUGGAAAAAAUAUUUUUCAAAGGCAAAUAAAGUGCCACUAACAUAGUAAUAAAACGUCACACCAUGGUUUUGUUUAUUUAUUAUUAAGAUAAGUAUAAUGAGAAGCCAUUCAAAUUAUGAAUAUAACAACAUUUUAAAAAAAUUGUAAAUAUGACAAAGUCUAUGAAAAAUAUAUUUUUAUUGUUGAUAGACUCUUGUUAUUACCAUUUGCAAUUUAGUUUAUCCGUGAUAGACUCCGACAAACUUACUAUAGUUGCAAUUUUUUUAUAAAAAUAUUGCUAUAUACGUUAAUAUUUUAAAUUUAAGUGCUAUAUUUGCAAUUUUCUCUUAUUAAUUGGGUGAGUGAUUAAUGCGGUAAAAUUCUAAAUCUCAAAAUGAAAUUAUUUAAUUUUUUGGUUGUUAUUUGUAUAUGUGAUUAGAUUAUUACAAGUGUCAACCGCAUUAAAGUUUGAAUGAGAUUCGAAUAUUUUUCAUUAUAAUUGUGGGAGACAACAAUGAACUGAUUCAAAUUAUGAAUGGAUGUAAAUCGUAAGUCUGGGUGUAACGAUAAUCAUGGAUGUAUGAAAAUGAAAUUUCAAAUUUAGGUGUGACAUUUUGAGAAAUUAUAAUAAAAAUAUUGCUUUUGGAUCGAAGGGUGAGGAUGAAGGGUUGAUUUAUGGGAAAGUCAGUGUAGCAUUUGGCUCAGCAGAGACAUCUAAAUUCAUUUCUGUUGAGAGCGAGAGAAAAGAGAGACUUGGUAGCCAUAAAUUGGCGCGAAUUUAACGGGACUACCGAACUUACCGGUCUUUAUGAACAAUGUCACUCCCACAUUCCAUCCCAUCCACAUUCACUACCCCUCUCUCUCUAAAGCACAUAGUUUUUUUUUUCUUUCUCACAUCUCAAUACCUUCUUUUCCUUCAUUUUCUUCAUCCACUUCCUCCCCCCAAUGUCUCUUUUCUGCAUUUUCUUCCAUUACACUCCGACCCAUCUCCCAUUUUCUUCCAUUCCUUGCUUUCCCAUGUGAAUUUAGUCAUGAUUUUUGUCAAAUGGGCCAUUUUGGGUCAUUCUAGUUUUGAUCAAGGUGAUGUUUUCUUUAGCCCUUGUGUCUUUGGUAUGGUGUAUGAGUUAGGCAGCUGAAGUGUUUGAAGAAAGUACCCAAUCGUCAACAGGCUUCAGAUUGCAGCAUUAGAAAUGGUUGGUGUACUGCCAUCAUAUAUCUUGAUUUAAUCACACACACACAAAAAAAAAAGAAGUUCUAAACUAUAGCUUUUAUGUCUGGCUGUAAUAUUCAUUUGCUAGAUCAAAGGGGGCUAAGGAAUCACAAAAGAUGUAUUGCAUUGUGAUCUGAUGCUGCUGAUUAGAUUGAUAGCUGAAAAUGUCUUUUAAUUGAUUUCUGUUCAUAAUCUUCAAAUGGCCCUUGAAAUGAUGCAUGAUAAUAAAAAUGUGGGAAGUGAAUGACUGUAAGUGAUGAUUUUCUGCUCAUAGAGAUAUGUAUUGGGAAAGAUUUAGAAUUCAUUGUCUAUGUUGGAAUGUAAAUCUAAGGCUUAUGAUGGGGUGGGAGGAUGAGCAUUAGCAGGUGCAAAGUCGAUCAAUAUCCCCUAAUAACUGGGCAUUUUCAUCAAAGGGUCGAGAUUUUUCAGUACUAUGGAUGCUUGCUGUCAUAUAACUUUCCUAGUAAAUAUUUAUCUCUUGGGAUCUUUCUUUAGGAUAUCAGUUAGAAGCAAGUUCAAACCAAUCGUGUUUCCAUGAAAAAUGGAACAUAUAGAGAGCUUAAGAACAGUUGAGUUUGUGCUGGACUCCCCCCUUCUAUUGGGAGAAGAAUUGUAAUAAGCAAAGUUAUUUUGCUUUGGAAAGAAGUUACUGUUUCAAAAUAAUCCCUGGAUUCCCUUUUCAUAAUUUCUAUAGCUUCUUGGUAAGGAUGUGUAUACUUUUCAUAAAUGUGCUUCUUCAGACGUAAGUAUUAUUUCUUUUUAAAAAUAGUGCAAAUGUGAUAGUUUCUGAAUUAAGUUUUUUUUUCCAAAAUAUGCAGGGUACUCCAGUUAACAUUAUUGUAGGUUCUCAUGUCUGGAUUGAAGAUCCAGAAGAUGCUUGGCUUGAUGGACAGGUGUCCAAGAUUACAGGACAGGAAGCUGAGAUCGAAGCCAGCAAUGGAAAAAAAGUAGGCAAAGACCUUUUCUUUCUUUCAUAUUAUCAUUAAAGUUUUGCUAAAAGAAGAUUAUUUAUAGGAAGUUCAGAAGUCAGGAUAUAGAUAUAUAUUUUUGAACAAGAAACAAGAUAUACAAGAAUCCUUGCAUUUUCUCAAUAUAGCUACAGUUAAAUUACAAUUUUUUUGACUCAGAUGUUCCUUACGGUCUCUCUUAGAAACACGGCUUCACCAUUUAUCUCAACAAAUAUUAAUUUGUGUAUGCUAUUUGGCAUCUUAGGUUGUUGCAAAAUUAUCCAAAAUAUACCCCAAAGAUAUGGAAGCUCCAGCUGGUGGCGUUGAUGACAUGACAAAGCUAUCUUACUUGCAUGAGCCUGGAGUUCUACAAAAUUUAAAAAUACGAUACGAACUCAAUGAAAUCUAUGUAAAUUUUCACCUUUCAUAUUGUAACUAUCACUCUGUUGAAGAAAAGAAGGAUAUCGUAUAAUCUUCCUUCUUAUUGCAGACAUACACUGGUAAUAUUCUUAUUGCUAUUAAUCCAUUCCAAAGACUGCCUCAUCUUUACGAUGGUCACAUGAUGCAACAAUACAAAGGAGCACCAUUUGGAGAACUGAGUCCUCAUGUUUUUGCUGUUGCUGAUGUUGCAUACAGGUUUAAUUUCAACAUUUUAAUCUUAAAGAAAUUCUACAUACUGACAAUUAACAUUUAUACUAAAACAGGGCAAUGAUUAAUGAGGGUAAAAGCAAUUCAAUUCUAGUCAGUGGUGAAAGUGGAGCAGGGAAAACUGAAACCACAAAAAUGCUCAUGAGGUACCUUGCAUUUUUAGGAGGCCGGGCGGCCACUGAAGGACGAACAGUUGAGCAACAAGUGCUUGAGGUAUGAUAAAUUAGAACUUCAAUAUAAAACCACUAUUUUCUCCAAAACAGCAAGACACGUUUUAAGCUAUGUUUUCUUCCCUCAAAUAUUAUAUAUAGUUAACUUCUGAUUCAAGUCUCCUGGUAUUUUCUUCCUUUGACUUGAUUUACAGUCAAAUCCAGUGCUCGAAGCUUUUGGAAAUGCUAAAACUGUCAGAAAUAACAAUUCCAGGUAAAAUAUGUGGAGGAUUGAAAGUGUUUUUAUAUAAAAUGGUAGUGUUUGGUUAACACUUAAAAAUAUGCUUUUAACUUAUUAAAAGCAUUUUCUAAAAGUUUAGUUGAGAAAUUCUAGAACUUGAUAAAAAGCACUGCUUUUAGUGAAACAUUUAAUUACUUUUCUUUCGGAAGUGCUUAAAAAGAGUGUUUCAAUCAGAUUUCUUUUUCUAAACAAACCUUUCCACAUUCCCAGAAGUUGGAAAUUCAUUUCCCCUGGCAGUUCAAAGUACAUUCAUUAACUUUACUUCAUUUAAUGCAUGCAAUUUCCUCAUGAAAAUUUAUUCCUAAAAACUAAUAAAAGAAGCAAAUUUUCAUUUCUCAAAUUGUUCCUGAGAAUUAUUUUCUCCAUACAGUCGCUUUGGUAAAUUCGUUGAAAUCCAGUUUGACAAGCAUGGGAGAAUCUCAGGAGCAGCUAUCCGAACUUACCUCCUCGAGAGAUCUCGUGUUUGCCAAGUUUCUGAUCCUGAGCGCAAUUAUCAUUGCUUUUACCUCCUUUGUGCUGCACCUCAGGAGGUAUUCAGUAGUUUCUUAAACUAAGAAUGUUACAUCGUUUAGGACACAUGAUCGUGGAAUUGCCACAGUCCUGGUUUGUGAAUCAGAUUGUUUGUGAUAUUAACAGGAAAUUGAAAAAUACAAGUUGGGAAAUCCCAGGUCAUUUCAUUAUCUAAAUCAAUCAAAUUGCUAUGAGCUGGUUGAUGUAAGUGAUGCUCAUGACUAUCUUGCCACUAGAAGAGCUAUGGAUGUAGUUGGAAUAAGUGCGAAGGAGCAGGUAUGGUAUCUGCUGCAGCUUGUAACUAUUUCCUAAUUUUGAGCAUAGUUAAUCGUCUUCUUAUGUCUUUCCUCUCCUCUCUUUACUCUGACAGGAAGCAAUCUUUAGGGUUGUUGCUGCAAUUCUUCAUCUUGGAAACAUUGUAUUUACUAAGGGAAAAGAUGUUGAUUCAUCAAUUCCAAAAGAUGACAAGGCUAAGUUCCAUCUUAAAAUGACUUCAGAGCUUCUCAUGUAUUGAUCCUACAUUAAAAUGGUGCUUAUGAUUACAUCUUUUUAUAUUACUGGUAUUCAUCUAACCGCACUUUAUCAGGUGUGAUAAUGCUGGCCUUGAAGAUGCAUUAUGCAAGCGUGUCAUGAUCACCCCUGAAGAAGUGAUAAAACGUAGCUUGGAUCCUCAAAGUGCAGCUGUUAGUCGUGAUGGUUUGGCUAAAACUAUAUAUUCUCGACUAUUUGACUGGUAAGUUCCCCACUUUUAAAAGAUGUCAUUCGCUUUAAUGGCUAAUAAUUGAACUACACCCUGAAACUACUAUACAAGAUUGAAACUAGAAAACAAUACCAAGUUCCAUACGGUGUCUAAAUGUAUUUUAUCUCCCAUGCAGGCUGGUUGAUAAAAUUAAUGUCUCAAUUGGACAAGAUCCUAAAUCGAAGUCCCUGAUUGGGGUCCUUGAUAUCUAUGGUUUUGAAAGCUUCAAAGCUAACAGGUAAGGAAUAAUGGUUGUAAGUCUGGAUAUUGGUUCAAGUUUUCCAAUCGACCCAUAUAUCAAAAUCAAAGAGAUAAAAGAAAAACAAGCACAUGUAAGCAUUAGAGGCUACUGGUUGAUGGAGUGAAUUACAUAAGUUUAAUUGGAGUUCCAUAAUUAGCUUAGUUUGUUUCUUGUAACUUAGCAUUACUGUGAAAUUUUGUUCUCAUCAAAUGUCUUCCAACAAGCUCUUUUCAUGUAACUCGUAGAUUCUUCGUGUGAUUUUAAUCGAUAAAUACGGCCACGUUAUUUGUUAUUUAUCAUGGUCAUGUAUUAUUCACUGAAUUAUGUGCAUGUUCAUGUGCUUAUAUCUGUGUAAGCCUUGUAUUUGUACCUUUGGAAAUUCUUGUAACUUAAUUUCAGCAUAUCAUGCUGUGCAGUUUUGAGCAGUUCUGCAUUAACUUCACAAACGAGAAGUUACAGCAACAUUUCAAUCAGGUGACUCUCAGAAAUCAUUACACCAUUUAAGCACUCUUAACUUGCCUUUCAUUAAUUAAUAUACAUAUGUUUUUUGGAUGUCCAGCACGUUUUUAAAAUGGAACAAGAAGAAUAUACAAAAGAAGAGAUUGAUUGGAGUUACAUUGAGUUUGUCGACAACCAAGAUGUGUUAGAUCUUAUUGAAAAGGUUAGAUAUAUAUAUUCAUUUUUUCAUUAUUCUUAUCCAUUCAACAUGGUAGUGUAUGCAAAUGGAUGUACACAUAUCUUUAUGUAUAUAUUGUUCAAAAUGGCCAGUUCAUAAAUAUAUAUACAUCCGAUCAGCAAUAGGUGAUUAACAUAAUAAAUGGUCCAUCAAUAAUAUUGAUUAGACCGUUGAUUGGUUCUACUGGUAUUAAACCACAACACCAGAUAGACAAGUAGUGAAACAAAGAAAUCUACCAGUGCUUUGUGACCAAACCUGAUUAUUGUAAAUGGUUCCUUGAACAUUUCACCAUUAUCAGAUGGAAUAAAAAAGAGCAUUAAAAGGUUACAUUGAUGACCAUUUCAAUUUAACUUAUAUGAAAAAGUCUGUUCAGGUGAUUAAAACCUCAUAUGACCAUUGUUGAAACAUCUCUUUAUAGUUUUCUUUUUUCCAAAGUUCAACGGAGAUUCAAACCUCAAUCAAGGACAUGCUAGUUGAGUUAUGCACGUGUCGGCAAUAUCCCUUUGUAGCCAUGACUAUGGUUUUUAUAUAUUCUUAUAAUCAAAUCUUGUACAGUAAUAUUAUCAUACCUUUCUGAAGUUGGUUGUGGUAUCUUUAUUUAACAGAAACCUGGUGGAAUUGUGGCUCUCCUUGAUGAAGCUUGGUAAGUUUUUGUAAUUCAAUUAAUUCUCUAAAAUGUCACUUUUCACUGAGACUGACCAUUAUCAGGUAGCGAAUUUCUUGUCAUUAUACAAUUCUUAAAGAAGUUGUAGCUUAUGUGUAUUUUGUUCAACACUUCAAUUUUUCUAUGUAGUUCUAUCAAUUUUAACACGUAAGUUGUGCUUUUUCAUCUUUUUUUCAGCAUGUUUCCAAAGUCCACACAUGAGACAUUUGCUAACAAACUCUAUCAGACUUUCAAAGCACAUAAGCGGUUUAUAAAGCCAAAACUUUCUCGAACAGAUUUUACCAUUGCUCAUUAUGCUGGAGAGGUAAUAUGAACUCCAAGGCAUAAUUUUGUUCAUGGCAGGGAAGAUUCUUACGCUUACAAUUUAUGUAUUUGUUAUCAGGUUUUGUAUCAAUCUGAUCAGUUUUUGGACAAAAACAAAGAUUAUGUAGUUCCUGAAUAUCAGGAUUUGUUGGGUGCAUCCAAAUGUCCAUUUGUUGCUGGUCUUUUCCCCCCUCUAAAAGAAGAAUCUGCAAAAUCUUCCAAGUUUUCUUCAAUUGGAUCUCGCUUUAAGGUAGUUUUCUCUCAAUCAUCAAAAUAAUUUCUGUGAUAAGAACAAACAAUGAAUUCAAACCCCACAUAAAAAGGCAUUAGGAUGAAACUUCUUUUUAUCAAUCAGUUACUGUAUCUGAAUGUAACAUCCUAACUUGCCUUCUUGGAAAGGAAGAUAUUUUUUUGUGUUGAGAGAUCAUAACCUUAAGUACUGGAUCGUGUGUUUGCAGCUACAACUACAACAGUUAAUGGAGACACUAAAUUCCACAGAACCUCACUACAUCAGAUGUGUGAAGCCAAACAACCUCUUGAAACCUGCCAUAUUUGAGAAUGUCAACAUUAUGCAACAACUGCGUUGUGGUGUGAGUACUACUUUUCUUUCCUAUUUUGUUCAGCCAGUAACUGGAUUUUGAUUCUCUUUCUCUACAAUAAUUUCCAUGCUUUAAUAGGGUGUCUUAGAGGCAAUCAGAAUCAGCUGUGCUGGGUACCCUACUCGCCGUGCGUUCUUUGAAUUCAUUAACCGAUUUGGAAUUCUAGCUCAAGAAUCCUUAGAAGGAAAGUAAGUAUUUUCAGUUUCAAAUAUUUUACAGCUCUCUUUCACUCUCAUACACUCUUGAGUUUAGUGGUGUGGAAAACAGAGAGCACCUCUGGUAUUCAUUCUGUAACAAUACUGCUUAGAGGACUUGAUAUUCUGCAUUCUGAAACCACCUUCCUUUUCUUGGUGACAGCUACGAUGAAAAGACUGUUUGCAAAAAGAUAUUAGAAAAGCAGGGACUCAAAGGGUUUCAGGUAAGACAGAGAGCUUGUCUUACACCUACUUUUAUGUGAAAAAUACUUCUUUCGUGAAUAAUGAAUCUCUUUCAAAACUAAAAUAAUCUAACCUUAACUUUCACAAUCAUUACAUUAGCCAAUAGAAAUUUAAUCACAGGAUUAUGAUACUUUUUUCCAGUAGCAACGAUGAUGGAGUGGUUGUAUGUGUUUAAAACAUCUACUAAUAUCAAAUCUUGUUCUUAAUGAAAAAUUUGCCCAAGCAUGCAGUCAUAUAUGGUGAACAUGAGGCAUAUAUAUCAACUUGCAUUUUGCAGAUAGGUAAGACAAAAGUAUUCCUGAGGGCUGGUCAGAUGGCUGAAUUAGAUGCUCGAAGAGCAGAGGUAUUGAGUAAUGCAGCAAAGACUAUUCAACGGCGCACACGAACCCAUAUUGCUCGUAAACAGUUCAUUGCAUUACGAAAGGCAACCAUAUACGUGCAAUCUAGAUGGAGAGGUAAGGCAUUUGAAGCAACUUGCUGGUACAUGAGUUCUACAACAAUCAAUAAUGCUAUUUACUUUUAUGAAGGACCCCCCACCAAAUUGAGGAAUUUUUAAGCUUACCGUUAAGUACGUUGCUACGGUUCUUUCAUUACAUGCAACUACCAUGAUUACAGGAAAACUGGCUUGCAAACUUUUCAAGAAUUUGAAGAGAGAGGCAGCUGCUGUGAAAAUUCAGAAAAGUGCUCGAAGAUUUCAUGCAAGAAAAACCUACAAAAAACUACAAGCCUCAGUGCUUUAUGUGCAAACUGGAUUAAGGGCAAUGGCAGCUAGGAAUGAAUUCAGAUUUAGGAAGCAGACUAAGGCGGCAAUUAUCAUUCAGGUUCCAUACUUAUAUUUAAUUGAUUUAAGCAAUCUAUUCCUGUUAUUGUUAGAUUAAAUAUUUUCCUGUUAAUACAUAAAAUUGUAGGCUCGAUGGCGUUGCCAUAAAGCUGCCUCAUACUAUAAAAAACUUCAGAGAGGCUCAAUAGUUGCACAAUGUAGAUGGAGGGGAAAAGUUGCUAGAAAGGAACUUAGAAAACUUAAAUUGGUAAGCAAUGAUCAAUUUAUUUUCUUGUAUAGAAUUUUAUUUCAUACCAUAUACUUGAAAUUUGUCGAUUUGAAAUAUCCAUUUGAUAACUUGAAACCUUGUAUGCUUGGACGUAUGUACCCAGGUGGCAACCAACCAAGGAUGUAUCAAAUCUUUUAUCUGAUGUUACUCUGAUUAUUGAUUUGGAUAGAAGUAGACAAUUUUCGUGUAUUCUAUGUUAAUAAAAAUUUCAAACUCCAAGUUCUUUUCUGUCUCUUGUUCUCUGUUUUCAUAUUAGGCAACUUAAAAGCACUCUUUUUUCAGGCUGCAAGGGAGACUGGUGCACUUAAAGAAGCAAAGGACAAGUUGGAAAAGAAAGUGGAGGAACUUACUUGGCGCAUACAGUUAGAAAAACGCCUGAGGGUAAUCUUAUGCUAUUUUAACAUUAAAUUUUAUUAUAUUUGUCACAGGUGAUGUUUUAUACUAAAACUUAUCACUGGGUAAUAAACUAUGGAAAAUACUCCCCAGGAAGACAUUCAGGCAGUUCCUUUUCAACUAAAUAUAAAAAGAACCAGUCAAUUUGAAACAAUCAAUUACUUGUAGUUUUGAUCUUCCUUUUUGGUUGACCUUAGAGAACUGACAACUUGUAACAAAUUAACUACUUGUAGUCUUUUUCAUCCUUUAUGGUUGACCCCAGAAACAAUAGUUGUACUGAGAUAAAUAUUUCACCUAAUAAGCUUUGAAUCAUCUGUGCAGACGGACCUGGAAGAGGCAAAAGCUCAGGAGAUAGGAAAGUUACAAAAUUCUUUGCAAGAACUGCAGACUAAAGUUGAUGAAACUAACUCAUUGCUCGUAAAGGAGCGAGAGGCUGUAAAGAAGGCUGUUGAAGAAGCACCUCCUGUUAUUCAAGAAACCCAAGUUCUGGUUGAAGAUACCAAGAAAAUUGAUGAUUUGACAACAGAAGUAGAAAACUUAAAGGUAUUGAUGAUUUUGCUCAUCAUUUAAACUAAAUUUAACUAAAUCGUUUUUUUGUUUUCAGCCUCUUCUUUUCGUUAAUGGAGCUCUGCAUGCUGAGAUCACUAUAUUAGUGGCUAUUCAAGUACAUGAAAGUCAAUGAUUUGGCCUGAUGUCAUUAGUGACAAUUUUUCUUUCUAUUUUCCAACCUUUUCUUUAUUUUAUGGUUGAUUGGUAUUUCAGCUAGAUGAGAUGUGUUUCUAACAUUCUGUUGUUAUAUAUCAGCAUUAACACAUGUCACAUAAUCAGUCAUUCAUUGUUUAUCCCAUUCCAGAUGAUUGGUAAUUCCUUUUACACUGAUUAAUACAUUUAUUUUACGAAUUCUCAGACCUCACUGGAGACAGAGAAAAGCAGAGCUGAUGAAUCUGAGAAAAAAUGUAGUGAAAUAGAAAAGUCUAGAGAAGAACAACGUAAAAAGUUAGAAGAUACAGAGAAAAAAGCUCAUCAGCUCCAGGAGUCAUUGACCAGGUAAUAUCACUAUUUUGAAAAUAGAGUAAAGUUCCAUCAAUCACCUUCUUAGAUUGCCUCUAUCUAUAUAUUUAAUAAUGUGGGACUUGCUGGCACUGAAUUGUUCCAACUUUUUGUUGAACUUAUGUAGAUGGACAAUAUUUAACAUGUUUACGAAAAUUGCACUCAGAUUGCCGUUAAGAUUUCUAACAAAUGUAUCAAGGUUUUUUAGGGAACUCAUGCUUAUGGGCUCUGACUUUCAGUCUUUAUAACAAUCCUCUAUAUAAGUUUAAGGCACUUCAGUUGUCUUCUACCUUAGUAAGAGCUACUAAUUUGACAUUCAUGAAUUGAUUAACUGAACACUCUCUUGAUUAGGCUAGAAGAGAAGCUUUCCAAUUUGGAAUCAGAGAAUCAAGUUUUGCGCCAACAAGCUUUGUCUAUGGCACCUAAUAAAAUCCUCUCAGGACGGUCUAGAUCAAUUCUUCAGGUAUUAUGAGACAUUGCUAUUAUAUGGCAGAUUGAUAACUAAUAAUUAAUUAUAUUGUGAUGUUGGGGAUAUUUACAUGUGAAAUUUUUGCGACAAAUGACAGAGAGGUGCUGAAAGUGGUCAUUAUGGAGGAGAAGGGAGAACACCUUUGGUCAGUAAAAGUGUAAAACUGUUGUUGAGCAUGGAAUUUAUUUGAAGGAAUAAAUAGAAGUUCUUCAUUCCAUUUUGGUUUUUCUUACGUUUAACUUACUAUCUCAUUUACUGAAUCAGGAUCUACACAGCCCCUCUAUUAACCAAAGGGAUUCAGAAGUAGAGGAUAAACCUCAAAAAUCACUUAAUGAUAAACAGCAAGAGAAUCAAGAUUUGCUCAUUCGAUGUAUUGCGCAGCACCUUGGCUUUGCAGGAAACAGGCCAAUUGCUGCUUGUAUCAUCUACAAGUGUCUGCUUCAGUGGAGGUCUUUUGAAGUCGAACGCACCAGUGUGUUUGAUAAGAUAAUUCAAACUAUAGGCCAUGCAAUUGAGGUUCAAACUGAUUGACCUUAAAUAUUACCGCUCUUUUCUGCAUGUCUUUUUAGUUUAGAGUCACUGCUAACAUGAAUACAAACACCAUUUUCUUUCCAGUCUCAGGAUAACAAUGAUGUCUUGGCGUAUUGGUUAUCCAACGCUUCAACGCUUCUCUUACUGCUUCAACGUACAUUGAAAGCAAGUGGUGCUGCUGGAAUGGCUCCACAACGUCGAAGAUCAUCGUCAGCUACAAUAUUUGGGAGGAUGACGCAAGUUAAUACAAAAGAAUUCACAAAUCAUUGUUAUUAUAUACAUAAAUUACCAUCAUACUUAAAUUUAUCUGAUGUUUUUCUUCUCUAAACUUUUUCUAGAGUUUCCGAGGAGCUCCACAAGGAGUCAAUCUAUCCUUAAUCAAUGGUGGAACAAGUGGUGGAGUGGACACUUUAAGGCAAGUUGAAGCGAAGUACCCUGCUCUGCUUUUCAAGCAGCAGCUUACAGCUUAUGUAGAGAAAAUUUAUGGAAUGAUAAGAGAUAAUCUGAAGAAAGAAAUUUCUCCAUUGCUAGGAUUGUGCAUCCAGGUAUGUAUAUUUAGAGUUUAUACCUUAUGAAUUAUCUGGUUCACUUCUUUAGUUUAAUUUCUUCCUAAUCACCAAUAGUCUAACCCUUAUUCAUGUAAUAUGGAAAAGGCACCAAGAACAUCAAGGGCAAGUUUGGUGAAGGGAUCUUCUCGUUCUGUUGCCAACACCGAGGCCCAGCGUGCCUUAAUUGCUCACUGGCAAGGAAUCGUGAAGAGCCUCGGAAACUUCUUAAACACCUUAAAAGCAAAUCAUGUAUGCAGAACCUUUAGCUUCUUUUUGCAAAUAUGGUUGACAAGUUAUUAACUUAUGGUUUCUCAAGUUGAAAUUCUCUUUAAUGAUCGUUUUACUCUAGAAGCAUACGCAGGUGUAAUUGGUUGUUUUGGACCUUUUUAGUUAAUUUCUUUUUCUGAAUCGUAUAUUCUUUCUCCUUCCUAUGUCUAAUGUCAUUAUAGGUACCCCCAUUUUUGGUUCGCAAAGUCUUCAUACAAAUAUUUUCUUUCAUCAACGUUCAACUGUUUAACAGGUUUUCAGCCCUCCUAUUUCUUGUUCUUGAGGUACUUAACUAAGAGCUUUCUCAAUCAGCAAACAUGUUUUCUUUCUUUACAGUCUUCUAUUACGACGAGAAUGUUGUUCAUUUAGCAAUGGUGAAUACGUCAAAGCUGGGCUGUCCGAAUUAGAGCAUUGGUGUUAUAAAGCUACUGAUGAGGUACCUCGAAAACGCUGCUUUAUCUUAUUUAUUUUCUUUAAACGGUUACUGACUGAUAAAAUUAAAAUGCAGUAUGCAGGUUCUGCUUGGGACGAGCUAAAGCAUAUUAGACAAGCGAUCGGGUUUCUGGUAUCUCCCCAUCCUUCUAUUAUGUUCAAGUCCUCUCUCAAAAACUUCUUCAAUUGGACAACAGGAAAAUAAGCUAAAUUCUUGCUUCAAUACUGUAAUAGGUUAUUCAUCAGAAGCCAAAGAAGACAUUAGAUGAAAUAAGUCACGAUCUGUGUCCGGUAAGUGGCGUGUAAGCAAUUGGUGUACAAUACACAUACAUAAGUACUGUUUUUAUGCAGUUACUCUCCUAAUGACCAAACCAAAUUCUUCAAUCACAGGUACUAAGUAUACAGCAGCUGUAUCGUAUAAGUACGAUGUACUGGGACGACAAAUAUGGCACCCAUAGUGUUUCACCCGAUGUAAGAUUUUAAACAUUGUAUUUCAUCUCUUGUAGUUCGACUCUAAAGAUCUAUGUUUGAACCACUCUUGUCUAUAUCAUUUUUGCAAAAGUUCAUAAAUCUUUAUUGUUCAUCCUUCUCCUAGGUUAUAUCCAAUAUGAGGGUGUUAAUGACCGAAGAUUCGAACCAUGCAAUUAGCAAUUCAUUUCUAUUAGACGACGAUUCAAGGUUAGUAUCUUUUUACCAGGAUUUGAAGGACAGUAAACUUAUAUUUUUCUCAAUCUUUGUGAAAAAAAAAAAUCAUGAAGGGCCUUAUUUAUAGACUAGAAGAAGAAGAGUCCAGCAAACAUGAACAACCUUAACAUGUUUAUUGGUUGCUUUUGUACGGCAGCAUUCCAUUCUCAGUUGAUGAUUUAUCAAAGUCUAUGGAACAAAUAGACAUCGGAGACAUCGAACCACCACCGCUGAUUCGGGAAAACUCAGGCUUUAGUUUCUUGUUACCACGAACAGACUAAUAGACAAAUCUCCGAUCUCCUUCUCUCUCUCAGAGCUUAAAUUGUCAAGAUCCUGUCUGAAUUGGAACCCUCCCGCAUGCUUAUUUCCUCAAGAGGUUCUACAGAUGCAAAUAUGCCUUGCAGUUUGAAGUGAAAUGAAGACAACUCUGCCACAAAAUGGCUAAGAAAUUGCUUCAAAUCACUUUCCUAACAUUGUAGUUCAAAUUUCUUCACUAUACUUUGUAUGAGUUUUAGAUUUUCGGAGACAGUCAGUUGAAGUAGAAGGCGGUAUCAUAGAUUUCCACAUUUUCUUUGUAUUUUAGUUGUAUUUUCUCUGAGAUCGUUUCCAUUAACUUUAUAAAUAAUAAGCCAUCAUCAGUUCAGAAUAAUGUUUUUUUCUUUAUCAAAUUGCUUACAGAUUGGUAAGCUUCAUAUCAACUUAGUUUGACUCAAGGAAAAGAGCUUAAAUAUUUAAGAAUUAGCUGGUUGAGUUAUUACACUACAAAAUACUCAUACUGUUUUAUUCUAUCAUGUGCGAAACCUUUAAACAAAGCACCAAAACAGUAUAUCAAGCAAAGCUGUAUAAUUUGCUUGUAGUAAUUAAUUGCUCAAAAUUUGAUCUCUGACUAAAGUGUCAAUCAACUCUCCCAGAUUGAGUAAGAAUUCAACCCAAUACGGAUCAAAUCAACGAGUUUUCCUUACUUUCGUCCUAUUUCACUCAAAAGAUUGAAUGGAGAUACAGAUAGUGUAUCAAGUUGUUUCUACUGCCUUGGUUAUAACAUUAAGUAAUCUGAUGAUCAAUAGAAGAAACUUAGCACUAUUCCCUAUUAUUUAACUAAAAGCACUAAUCACCCUCUCAAAGGUCCAUUGUUUAUGAUCAUAUUCUGCAAUUUAUUGAACUAAGAGAGAAAACAAAAUAGCGUGGUCAUUGCUUAAGCUAAAAGACAGGCUUAGAAAAAUUUAGAAAGUUAGUAUUUACCUAUAUACUUCAAUCCUAACAACACCAAAGUAGGAAAGAUACUCGACUCCUAAGCGUAGGAAUCGAAGAUGUUGGUCUAAGUUGAUUUAUUUAUAUAGAACUUUAAAGUUUUGAUUUGAUAUAUACACAAUUAUUAGUUUGAAAUUUUAAUUGAUAAUUUAAUACAAUUCCUGAUGUUUACAGCUAUAAAUUGAUUUCUUUCUCCAAAAAGUAUCUAUAAAUUGAUUUUACCCAGAGAUUUAAUGAACAUUGGCACAAAAAAUAAAUUAAAGGAAAAAAAAUGCGAGACCAUUUUGUUUCUAUCAAAAUGUUUUUAGGCCAACCUGCAUUGUUCGAGGGACAAUUUAUAUAUAUCAGUAGAAAGUUCAGAUCUCCAUACCUUCAUGUUCAUGUUAUGCUAAUUAUAUGUGAAAAUAACGUGGGACAUUCUAAAGAUUAAAAUGUUUGUCUAUAUAUAAUUGUAGAUCAAAUGAUUCAAUAUGAACAUGCACCGUACUAAUAGCAAGAUUAUUAUAAGUUAGUUUAAAGUUGAAACAUAAUUAUUAAAUUUAAACAUCUUUACAACUUUUUUACUUACAACGAUAUUGGUUGACAUUUAUCAAUAUAUUCAUCAAUAUUCUAUAAAAUAUCGAUAUAAAUAACGACAUAUCACGCGAUAUUUUAGUCCUUUUGGUGGUUUGUUUGUAAAGAGGAAAACAAAAAGAAAAUAACAUGAUAACCCUUGUAGGUUAAGUAUAAUUAGUGACAAUUUUAGAAAUAAGAACCUUUUUUAAAAAUUGUAAAUAUAACAAAAUCUACAUGUGAUAAACUUUCUAUAGACUUUGACAGAUUUUGAUAUAUUUACAAAUUUUAAAUUUUUUUGCUAUAUAUGUAAUGACUAUAUUUACAAUUAUUCCAAAUAAUAAAGAACAGCCCUCAACUAUUUCCAAAGCACAUACACCAACAGAAUUACUAUGCAUAUUGUUCCUCCUAGUGGGCGUAUUGAGCAUCAAGUUUGAGUGAGAGUAGGUAAGACCCUCACCUACACGUAAGAAUACGAAGACUAUUGUAUUAGAUUAUUACGUGAAAGCGAAUGCAAGCCAAUCGAAAGAGAGUACAGGAGAGGAAGAGUGCUUUUAUCGUAUGAGAACAUUAAGAUCACGAUAGACAAUAUAAAUACCGUAAGGAUGCAUUAUACUCUAUGAGUUUAGAUAUCAAUAUGUGUAAGUUUUACAGUUUGGAAUAGUAAUGUUACGACCACAGUGAGCUAGGGGCCGUAUCCGUAAAAGAAGAACUAUUCAAACAGUACUGUAUAAAGAUUUUUUUUAAAAAAAGGAAAGGAAAGGAAAAUCUCAGGAAGUGAUGAUCUAGUUUACUUUAGUACAUGAAUCAAGUCAAAUUUGGAGUUUGAAUAAAUAUUGAAAAUUUCAAAAUGGUUUCAAUUAUGAUUAUUACUAGUCCACAUCAACAAUGGCUUUAGUUGUCUAAACUUUUCAUGUGCUGCAUACUAUUAUACAUAUACAACCAGUCAAACUGCAAAUCAACAUCAAUCACUGUCAUUAUAUAUUUUUCAAUCAGGAAAGAAAAAAACAUAAAUAAAAUCAAAAUUACAAAAUAAAUAAAUUGCUUUGAUCAAACAAACAAAUCAAUCUUCUAUUGUCUUGACUUUGAAUGAUUACUUUGUAUAUAUAUAUAGAAAGAAAAAUAGUGUUCUAGAUGCUUUAAACCGAACUCCUUGUAUGACUAUUAUUUAUUAUUCCAGUUUCAAACUUCCAAUUUUUUUGGUGAUACAUUGAAUAAUAAAAUUAUUAUAGGUGUCAUUAGUUUUAAAUUUGAGAAGGUCAUUGUUAAUAACUAUAAGUAGAAUUCUUUAAUAUCUUACUAUAUAUUAACUAUUUUAAAAUAUUUGACGUAUGAGCAUGAAAUGGAUGUUUAGAAUAUGAUGAUUAUGUACACAAUUAAUUAACAUGUGAUGAGGAAAUUUAUAUAAUAUAUGGAUGUAAACUUGUUAUUAAUUUUUUUUUUAUCUAAGGUAUAGUUAUCUAUAUGGUUGGAAGCUACCCCAUGCAACGUCCAAAGGCCAUGGACAUACAAGUCCACUUUUAAGAAAAAUUGAAUUAACCAGUCAAGUCAUUGAAUAUAUAUAACAAUAAAAAUAUAACGAGUCACUCUCGAUUUAAUACCUUAGUAGCCUUGGGUGCCAAAAGCUUGUAGACAUCACACUAAUGCAAGAAGAAACUUUCAAGCAUGUUAGUUGGUUUGGAAAUCGAUACCCAACCAAGAAAAUGGAACUAGAGGUCAAGUGCAUGAGAUGCCUCCAAUGCGUGUGAAGUUCUAGACGCCGAAUCAUUUCAAUCUAUGGAUGUUAAACUAAAAUAUUUAGAAGAAAAAAUUUCAAUUUAUAUCUUCCACCCUUUAGGGUCGGUAUCAAUUUAAAUCUUAAAUUUUUUUAUUACUAAUUUAUAACUUCCUUCAUAUUUUGUCUAAAAGAUAUCGUGUGGUACACUAUAUUUUUUAAAUUAAACGACGUCUAGGUUAUAUGUUUUACAAAGUGAAUCAAUUUAAUUAAAACUUUAUAUUAAUAUGGAUUAUGUUUGAAAUUUUUGCAUUCAUAUGUAAAUGUACCAUUAACGAUUAGGAUUAAUUAUUGUAGGGAUAACUUUUAGCAAAAAUCUUAAUUAAGAGUAAAAUCCAUUUAAUCACUUAUAUACUAAAGUUUAAGGAUUUAUUGAUAAAAGUAUAAGUUUCACACACGCUACUGAUUCACACAAAUAGAAAUAUAGAGUUUAAUUAAAUUGAUAUUCUUGAGAUACAACUACAAUUCUACAAGUAUGAAUUGGUAUUAUAUGUGGAAGAAGUUGACUAAUAUUUGAAGCAAAUGUUGGAAAAGAAUCACAUAGUUGAAUUGAAAAAUAUUGCAGUUCACAGAGACUAAGGAUUUUGUUAAAUAAUUAGAGGAAAAAGAUUUUUCUAUGUUUUGUAUUUAUAUUUUAAAAAUCAAAGUUUCCUAAUCUUAAUUAUGAGCUGUUGCCCUAAUCCAAACCAAGUGAUAGCUUUAUAUAUAUAUAUAUAUAUAUAAUUUCUUUCAAUUCAUAUGUGGUGAGAGAUUUGAAGAGGCAUAUAUAACUUUAAUAUCCAAUUCAACUAUAAUUGAGUUUGAAAAAUAAUGAACAUUUUGAGGAUAAGUUUAUUAUUAUAUAUUUAUUAUUUCUUAAAAUGAAUUGACUUAAAAAUUGGAUAAUAAUAUAUAUGUUACAUCCACGUAAUUAUUAAGUCAGAAAAAUUCAAAAUUUUGGAUAGUUAUAACCCAACUAAUUAUUAUUUUAAAAAAAGUGUGUAUAUAUACAUAUAUAUUGGUGAAAUAAUAAGAUGAAAAUAAGUAGCAAAUAAAUAUUAUUAGAAUUUGGUUUACCAAAACAAAACAUAACUUUUAUUUCUUGACCUCAACAUAUAUAUUUAUACUCUCCAGUCUAAGUUAUCUUUUCAAUUUUUUAUUUUUAACAAACUAAGUAUAAUUAUUCAACUUGACAUUAUUAAUACCCACGAGUGGGAUUUGUGGUUGGGAGGCUCCUACUUUAAUUCUACUUAAAAAACAUUACUAUAUUUGAUAUCGUAUUAAAUAUAAUUUACUUAAAUCAAAAUAUUCUAUCUUAAUUAUUAUGUUAGUGUGAGCAUAACUUAACAGAUCUACAAAGAUGUUAGUGACAUAUGUGGUUCAUCAAUGAAAUAUUUCAUCUUAUAUUUUUUCUCUUUCUAAAAUUAGAAAGAAAAAAAAUACAUAUUUUCCCUAAUCAUUGAUUUUUUAAUAAAUUAUUGAACAAAUGAAGACCAAAGACAAGCAUAUAGAAGUAUUGAUUUCUAAAUUAUAUUAUUCAUAUUUAGGAUUUUUAUAAAAAAAAAAAGUCUUGAACACAGUUGUUUGAUUAUAACCCUAAUUAUUUUUUAUUAUUUUUUUGUUUCUUUUUAAAUUUAGCUUUGUUUCCUUACCAUUGAUUUGCCAUGGUUUUCAUCAAGUAGAUAACAAAAAAAAAGUUUUUUUUAUGAACUAAAAUUUCAAAUUAAAGAUCAAAAUAUAAAAAACCAAGUAUUCAUACAAAUGAAGGGAAAAAAAACAAGUGAAAGUAGUUGUUCAUAAAUUUAAUAAAGACACAAAACAAAUUAAUUUUCAAAUAUGUGUCUGCACAACAAUUGGUCCUAAUUGAAAUAAGCAAGUUCAAAUAAAGUAUAUAUAUAUAUAUACUUGAAGCUUGAAAAUUCACUUUUUUUUUGCAUAUAUAUACUUGAAUUCCUAACCAGACCAACAAAAAGAGACAACCACAAAUAUAAUCUAUUGAAAAAAACAAGAAGAUUGAAACUCCAUAAUGUUGUUGGGAAGAAUAUUGUUAUUAUUUUGUGUUUCAAAACAACCUUGACCAUCAAAUUGGAGGAGCGACUCCAUGUGAUGAUCAUCUGAGAACUUCAAAACUUCCAUUUCAUGACGAUCUGCAUGAAACAUUGCAGAUGGAGUUCGGGCACAGUCGGAGAGCAAUUUCUGGUUCCUCCGGCGAGUAGGAGUAUUGGAGUCAAAGCCGGUGAGUUGCUGAACAAUGGCUCUGAACUCAAGUGCAUUGCUUGCUUUGAUCAUCAUUGGACUUGAAAUGUACUUUACUUUUAUGGGUUUUCUCUGAACUUUUGUAGGGUUUUGGUUUUGGCUUUGGCUUUGGCUGUGGUUGUGGUUAGUGUAUUGAUUCUCUCCACACUUCCCCAUUAGAGAGAGUUAGAAAGAGAGAGAUAUCUCUCUCUUGCUUUUGAACAAAGAAUUGGGUUCUAUAUAUAAUAUUGAUACCUAGAGAUAAAGAUGUAGAGAGUUGGAGAG
RNAcentral lists this long non-coding RNA (40035 nucleotides) under Cucumis sativus (cucumber). RNAcentral's name for it is "long non-coding RNA (CSAT_LNC000497)". Lineage: Eukaryota; Viridiplantae; Streptophyta; Magnoliopsida; Cucurbitales; Cucurbitaceae. The record is from RNAcentral.